This 470-nucleotide ribosomal RNA is filed under the name uncultured Gemmatimonas sp. Its description in RNAcentral is "bacterial SSU rRNA". It matches the Rfam family "Bacterial small subunit ribosomal RNA", at positions 28 to 509 of the family's 1533-position model. Lineage: Bacteria; Pseudomonadati; Gemmatimonadota; Gemmatimonadia; Gemmatimonadales; Gemmatimonadaceae. The record is from RNAcentral.
GACGAACGCUGGCGGCGUGCUUAACACAUGCAAGUCGAGGGGGCUCAGCAAUGGGUCACCGGCGAACGGGUGCGUAACACGUGAGCAACCUGCCGCAGAGUGGGGGAUAGCCGGCCCAACGGCCGGGUAAUACCGCAUACGAUCUUCUGGGGACAUCCCCGGGAGAUGAAAGAUUUAUCGCUCUGCGAGGGGCUCGCGGCCUAUCAGCUAGUUGGCGAGGUAACGGCUCACCAAGGCGACGACGGGUAGCUGGUCUGAGAGGAUGGCCAGCCACAUUGGGACUGCGACACGGCCCAGACUCCUACGGGAGGCAGCAGUGGGGAAUCUUGCGCAAUGGGCGAAAGCCUGACGCAGCGACGCCGCGUGGGGAGGAAGGUUUUCGGAUCGUAAACCCCUGUUGCCCGGGACGAAUCCCUGGUUUAGACCAGGUUGACGGUACCGGGUGAGGAAGCACCGGCUAACUCCGUGCC